CACGUAGUUAGCCGGCGCUUCUUAUCCAGCUACCGUCAACCCACCCACAAAACGAGGCAGGCCUGCUUCACUGGCGAAAGAGGUUCACAACCCGAAGGCCUCCAUCCCUCACGCGGCGUCGCUGCAUCAGGCUUGCGCCCAUUGUGCAAUAUUCCCCACUGCUGCCUCCCGCAGGAGUCUGGGCCGUGUCUCAGUCCCAGUGUGGCCGUCCACCCUCUCAGGCCGGCUACCCCGUCACCGCCUUGGUAGGCCAUCACCCCACCAACAAGCUGAUAGGCCGCGAGCCCAUCCCCCACCGAAAACACCCAAAGGCGCAAUCUUUCCCAAACCCGCCAUGCGACAGACCCGGAAUACCCCGUAUUACGCCCCACUUUCAUGAGGUUAUCCAGAAGAAGAGGGCAGGUUACUCACGUGUUACUCACCCGUUCGCCACUCAUCCACACCCACCAAAAAGGCAAGCGCUUCACCGUUCGACUUGCAUGUGUUAAGCACGCCGCCAGCGUUCGU
Molecule: ribosomal RNA, 507 nt
Filed under: uncultured Actinomyces sp.
Lineage: Bacteria; Bacillati; Actinomycetota; Actinomycetes; Actinomycetales; Actinomycetaceae
Description: partial 16S ribosomal RNA
Source: RNAcentral